UACGUAGGGGGCAAGCGUUGUCCGGAAUCAUUGGGCGUAAAGAGCGUGUAGGGGGCUUUUCAAGUCCGCCGUCAAAUCCCAAGGCUCAACCCUGGACAGGUGGUGGAAACUACCAAGCUGGAGUACGGUAGGGGCAGAGGGAAUUUCCGAUGGAGCGGUGAAAUGCAUUGAGAUCGGAAAGAACACCAACGGCGAAAGCACCCUGCUGGGCCGACACUGACACUGAGAGACGAAAGCUAGGGGAGCGAAUGGG
This 253-nucleotide ribosomal RNA is filed under the name uncultured bacterium. Its description in RNAcentral is "partial 16S ribosomal RNA". It matches the Rfam family "Bacterial small subunit ribosomal RNA", at positions 524 to 776 of the family's 1533-position model. The record is from RNAcentral.